RNAcentral lists this ribosomal RNA (822 nucleotides) under Neobenedenia girellae. RNAcentral's name for it is "LSU rRNA". It matches the Rfam family "Eukaryotic large subunit ribosomal RNA", at positions 68 to 646 of the family's 3401-position model. The record is from RNAcentral. Lineage: Eukaryota; Metazoa; Platyhelminthes; Monogenea; Capsalidea; Capsalidae.
AACAGGAUUCUCUUAGUAACUGCGAGUGAACAGAGAUUAGCCCAACAUCGAAGCCACCAUGCAUUUGUAUGGGAGGCAAUGUGAUGUUUUGGUGUUUGAACGCACUGUCUGGCUAACUUGAAGUCCAUAUUUGACUGUGGCUUGUAUUUAUACACCCAGAGAUGGUGAUAGGCCCGUUCAGGUUGGUAUUCUGGCAUGACAGUUCAGUGUGUAAUCAUUCAUCAUAGAGUCGGAUUGCUUGAGAGUGCAGUCCAAAAUGGGUGGUAAACUCCAUCUAAGGCUAAAUACCUGUACGAGUCCGAUAGUCAACAAGUACCGUGAGGGAAAGUUGAAAAGUACUCUGAAGAGAGAGUAAAUAGUACGUGAAACCACAUGGAGGUUAAACAAAUAGAGUCAAGCUGCUUGCAUCAUAUCAUUGCAAUAUGCGCAUUUUGUUGCAUGACAUUUGCCGGGACCUGGCGUGUGAUUCUGUCUACUUGUAGGCAUUUGAACAUGUGUUUGUUGUUGAAAGGUCUCGGUGAGUGUCUGCGCUUAUUGUUCAUGAUGGGUGCUAAUGCCAUAGUCGGUUGUACUACCAGUGCGCAGUAAUCGGCGAUUGUGCGGGCUGACUUAUUGUCGUUCGUGCAAUCAGUGAAACAGUUGGCAACAGUGUGUGCUUGCAUUCGCUUUUGUCAAAGAAGGCCACGGCCUGUUGAUUACUGUGAACAUUGUGAGAGUCGACCGUUCAUAUGUGCUCAUAUAAUUUGUGGUAGUAAGUCGACUUGUCCACUACUUCCAUAAAUGAGCUUAUGAGCUAUGGUAUUGUGGUAGACUUUCUAUUUG